UACGAAGGUCCCAAGCGUUGUUCGGAAUCACUGGGCGUAAAGGGAGCGUAGGCGGCGUGGUAAGUCAGAUGUGAAAUCCCGGGGCUCAACCCCGGAACUGCAUCCGAUACUGCCAUGCUUGAGGGUUGGAGAGGUAGCUGGAAUUCCUGGUGUAGCGGUGAAAUGCGCAGAUAUCAGGAAGAACACCCGUGGCGAAGGCGGCUCUCUGGAACGCAACUGACGCUGAGACGCGAAAGCGUGGGGAGCAAACAGG
This 253-nucleotide ribosomal RNA is filed under the name uncultured bacterium. RNAcentral describes it as "partial 16S ribosomal RNA". It matches the Rfam family "Bacterial small subunit ribosomal RNA", at positions 524 to 776 of the family's 1533-position model. The record is from RNAcentral.